RNAcentral lists this long non-coding RNA (337 nucleotides) under Physcomitrium patens. RNAcentral's name for it is "long non-coding RNA (PPAT_LNC011769)". The record is from RNAcentral. Lineage: Eukaryota; Viridiplantae; Streptophyta; Bryopsida; Funariales; Funariaceae.
UGAGGUCCUUCCACCAUUCACCAGGUUGUUUUCUAUCUCUCAAAGGAUAUCUCCUUUCAUUUGAAGAAGACUCAACUUAUUGUACUCAAUGGUCACGUCCAACCUUCUUUUCUUUUGAAGAUAAUCUUUUCUCACUCAAAGGUUCAUAAUCCUCAUCACCAUCAUCAUCAACAUCUUCAUGCUCUUCAUUACUGGUCUUAGCAAUUGUAGAGUCCUUUUUUUCCACCUUCUUUGCCUCUUCAUCUUCAUUUCCACCUUUAUAACCAUCAUUGUCUUUGUCUUCUUCCUUCUUUGCUGAAUUUGAAGAUGUGUCCACAAACACACCAUUACUCCCACU